GGUCUGGAAAGUCCGACGAUACAGGGUGAUAGUCCCGUAGUUGACGACGUGUGUUCAGUGAAAUCGAGUAGGGCGGGACACGUGAUAUCCUGUCUGAAUAUGGGGGGACCAUCCUCCAAGGCUAAAUACUACUGACUGACCGAUAGUGAACCAGUACCGUGAGGGAAAGGCGAAAAGAACCCCUGUGAGGGGAGUGAAAUAGAACCUGAAACCGUGUACGUACAAGCAGUAGGAGCAGGCUUUGUCCUGUGACUGCGUACCUUUUGUAUAAUGGGUCAGCGACUUAUAUUCAGUGGCAAGGUUAACCAUCUAGGGGAGCCGUAGGGAAACCGAGUCUUAACUGGGCGUUCAGUCUCUGGAUAUAGACCCGAAACCAGGUGAUCUAGCCAUGGGCAGGUUGAAGGUUGAGUAACAUCAACUGGAGGACCGAACCGACUAAUGUUGAAAAAUUAGCGGAUGACUUGUGGCUAGGGGUGAAAGGCCAAUCAAACCUGGAGAUAGCUGGUUCUCCCCGAAAGCUAUUUAGGUAGCGCCUCGGACGAAUACUACUGGGGGUAGAGCACUGUUAAGGCUAGGGGGUCAUCCCGACUUACCAACCCUUUGCAAACUCCGAAUACCAGUAAGUACUAUCCGGGAGACACACGGCGGGUGCUAACGUCCGUCGUGGAGAGGGAAACAACCCAGACCGCCAGCUAAGGUCCCAAAUUACUACUAAGUGGGAAACGAUGUGGGAAGGCUCAGACAGCCAGGAUGUUGGCUUAGAAGCAGCCAUCAUUUAAAGAAAGCGUAAUAGCUCACUGGUCGAGUCGGCCUGCGCGGAAGAUGUAACGGGGCUAAGUAGUAAACCGAAGCUGCGGCAAUAUACUUUUGUAUAUUGGGUAGGGGAGCGUUCUGUAAGCGGUUGAAGGUGUGUGGUAACGCAUGCUGGACGUAUCAGAAGUGCGAAUGCUGACAUGAGUAA
RNAcentral lists this ribosomal RNA (961 nucleotides) under Vibrio parahaemolyticus. Its description in RNAcentral is "partial 23S ribosomal RNA". It matches the Rfam family "Bacterial large subunit ribosomal RNA", at positions 339 to 1309 of the family's 2925-position model. Lineage: Bacteria; Pseudomonadati; Pseudomonadota; Gammaproteobacteria; Vibrionales; Vibrionaceae. The record is from RNAcentral.